GGGGGUGGGCUUUGAGGGUUUAUAGCCUCUCUCUACUCCCUGCUCCGUCUCCCUGUCUCCUGGAUGUGUGGAUGAAAUGUCAUGCCUCUGUCAUGCCUCCUUUGCCACAUGGACUUUAUCCCCUUGGGACUGAAGCCAAAAUUACACUUCCUUCCUUAACUUGCUGUUGGUCAUGAGACUUUUAUCACAACAACAGAAAGGCCCGCUGAGAAAAAGGGCCCAGAAGAAGUACCUGAAGGGAAGAAGGGCUUAUCUUGGUUUGCAGAUCUACGGGAUGAAGCCCAUAUGGUGAAGAAGGUUGGAGGAAGGUGCCGGAUUUCCAGGAAGUGAAGAUACAGAUGGUUGCCGACUGCCAAGCGGAUGCUAGGAACUGAGCGUAGGUCCUCCAGGAGAGCAGCCAGCGCUGGUCACUGCUGAGCCAUCUCUCCGAAAAGUUUUAUCACUGUACGACUGAAGAGGACUUCAUGGGACCUGCACGUCUCAUUUUAUCCUGUUAUUGUCACGUUAACAGCGAGCAGUGAACAAGGGUGAUGACGAGUCAGAUGGAGAGACAACAUGCAAGGCAAAUGGCGUUUCCUCAGCACCAACAGGAGGUUGCCCUGAUGCCAGCUGUAGCCACUGCUCACUCUGGCAAGACCGAGUGUGCAAACUUGCCUUUGCUCUUUUUGCUCCGAACAAACCCAGGCCACUCCCGCUGCUCAGGAGACAACCCUUGGACCUGUUUUCCUCCUAUGGUGACACUGACUUUCUUGUCUGUUUUUGAGGUAUGUCCUCACAUAGCCUUUCCUGGCCUCAAACUCAUUUGUCAAACUAAACUACUAUGACUACAACUACUACUCCUCCUUCUCCUU
Molecule: small RNA, 851 nt
Filed under: Rattus norvegicus (Norway rat)
Lineage: Eukaryota; Metazoa; Chordata; Mammalia; Rodentia; Muridae
Description: uncharacterized LOC102546865
Source: RNAcentral